GGUGGCGGGACAGGCUUCAUUGGGACAGCCCUAACCCAGCUGCUGAAUGCCAGAGGCCACGAAGUGACGUUGAUCUCCCGACACCCUGGGCCCGGCCGGAUCACGUGGGUAAGUCCAUCCUCUGGAAGCGGGUGGGAGGGCAGAGUUGGGCGGCGCAGAGCGGGGCAGCGGCACUGUGUGCUUUCUCCGACAGGAUGAGCUCGCUGCAUCGGGGCUGCCGAGCUGCGAUGCCGCCGUCAACCUGGCCGGAGAGAACAUCCUCAACCCUCUCCGAAGGUCAGCCCGGGCCCUAAAGCUGAUACCCACUAGAGCACAGGGAGGAAAGUGCCCCACUGAUGAGAACCUGUGAGCUAUGGCUUACUACCAGCCCAGUCUGACUGCGGAGUAUGAUGAAGACAGCCCAGGAGGAGACUUUGACUUUUUCUCCAACCUCGUAACCAAAUGGGAAGCUGCAGCCAGGCUUCCUGGAGAUCCUACACGCCAGGUGGUGGUGCGCUCAGGGGUUGUGCUGGGCCGUGGGGGUGGUGCCAUGGGCCACAUGCUGCUGCCCUUUCGCCUGGGCCUGGGGGGCCCCAUCGGCUCAGGCCACCAAUUCUUCCCCUGGAUACACAUUGGGGACCUGGCAGGAAUCCUGACCCAUGCCCUUGAAGCAAACCACGUGCACGGGGUCCUGAAUGGAGUGGCUCCAUCCUCCGCCACUAAUGCUGAGUUUGCCCAGACCUUGGGUGCUGCCCUGGGCCGCCGAGCCUUCAUCCCUCUCCCCAGCACUGUGGUGCAAGCUGUCUUUGGGCGAGAGCGUGCCAUCAUGCUGCUGGAGGGCCAGAAGGUGAUCCCACGGCGAACACUGGCCACUGGCUACCAGUAUUCCUUCCCAGAGCUAGGGGCUGCCUUAAAGGAAAUUGUAGCCUAAGUAGGUCGUGGCAAGGGCCUGAGGCCUGUCCCUCACAGGCUUCCAAGUUAGGCACUGUGAAUAGGCUCAGUUCCUCUAGAGAGCUGAAGCCAUCUGGUUCUUAGAUUCCUCUCCCAGUCCUCUUUCCCAUUGUUCUGUUGCUCCACCUUAUUGUCUCAAGGCCGUAAUCUCUUCAGGUUGGGACAUUAAUCUUUUCAACUCCUUGUAAGAUUUCCCAGUUUGGUUUCUCUCCAUGUCCUGCAGCUGCCCCACUUCUCCUUUACGCUGUGUAGAGAAUGCUCUGCAG
This 1196-nucleotide small RNA is filed under the name Pongo abelii (Sumatran orangutan). RNAcentral's name for it is "retained intron". The record is from RNAcentral. Lineage: Eukaryota; Metazoa; Chordata; Mammalia; Primates; Hominidae.